RNAcentral lists this ribosomal RNA (494 nucleotides) under uncultured bacterium. Its description in RNAcentral is "partial 16S ribosomal RNA". It matches the Rfam family "Bacterial small subunit ribosomal RNA", at positions 28 to 507 of the family's 1533-position model. The record is from RNAcentral.
GACGAACGCUGGCGGCGUGCUUAACACAUGCAAGUCGAACGGAAAGGCCUGCUUUCCCUUGUGGAUUGCGGGUGCUCGAGUGGCGAACGGGUGAGUAACACGUGAGUUAUCUGCCCCCAACUUGGGUAUAAGCCUGGGAAACUGGGUCUAAUUCCCGAUAGGACUGCAGGGUGGUGCCUGUGGUGGAAAACGAUUUUCUAGUGGUUGGGGAUGAGCUCGCGGCCUAUCAGCUUGUUGGUGGGGUAAUGGCCUACCAAGGCGGCGACGGGUAGCCGGCCUGGGAGGGUGGACGGCCACAUUGGGACUGAGAUACGGCCCAGACUCCUACGGGAGGCAGCAGUGGGGAAUAUUGCACAAUGGGCGGAAGCCUGAUGCAGCGACGCCGCGUGGGGGAUGACGGCCUUCGGGUUGUAAACUCCUUUCGACCGCGAGGAAGCCACCUGGUUGGAAGGGUGGUGACGGUAGUGGUAGAAGAAGCACCGGCUAACUACGUG